GCCGCGGUAAUACGGAGGGUGCGAGCGUUUAUCGGAAUUACUGGGCGUAAAGCGCGCGUAGGCGGCUUGAUAAGUCGGAUGUGAAAUCCCCGGGCUCAACCUGGGAACUGCAUCCGAUACUGGCGAGCUGGAGUGCGAUAGAGGGGGGUAGAAUUCCUAGUGUAGCGGUGAAAUGCGUAGAUAUUAGGAGGAAUACCGGUGGCGAAGGCGGCCCCCUGGAUCGACACUGACGCUGAGGUGCGAAAGCGUGGGUAGCAAACAG
Molecule: ribosomal RNA, 262 nt
Filed under: uncultured bacterium
Lineage: Bacteria
Description: partial 16S ribosomal RNA
Rfam family: Bacterial small subunit ribosomal RNA
Source: RNAcentral